This 507-nucleotide long non-coding RNA is filed under the name Mytilus galloprovincialis (Mediterranean mussel). Lineage: Eukaryota; Metazoa; Mollusca; Bivalvia; Mytilida; Mytilidae. The record is from RNAcentral.
CUUUUGUCCAUCAGGUCUUAACUGAUGACAUCACAAGGCACAACCCGUAGAUACAAAGUCUACCUAUAUGUCCAAAUUCCAGUCAGCCAUAUCAAACAUAUUGAACUUUCUUCUUAAUGCACAACACACUAUUCACAGUAUAUUUCUCCUUUUGUCCGAAUAAAACUUUUUAAAACUUCCUACUUCAAAAUAUCCCUGUUUCCAACAUUAACCUCUUUCCUAUUAACGUCUGUAAUUUUGAGCGUCACUGCCAAAGAAUAAAUUUAAAAGGUCCCUAACAAAUUUUGCCUCUGCAGCGGCCCCAAGGAGCCUACUCUUAACGAAAUCUGCAGGAGGGGUCUUUUACAUGCACAGGGCGUGACAUGUUCCUGUACAUGGGGCCUCGGAUUUAACGUCCCCAUCCGACGGACUCACAUAAUUAACUAUAUGUACACUAUAUACACUACAAAACUGUCUAUAUACACAUAUGAUACAUCCAAUCGUCUACACUUCACAGUGAUCCUUUAC